Molecule: long non-coding RNA, 2728 nt
Filed under: Marmota monax (woodchuck)
Lineage: Eukaryota; Metazoa; Chordata; Mammalia; Rodentia; Sciuridae
Source: RNAcentral
GAGCAGCCCAUGUAGCGGGACUCAGAGCCCGGCUCUCGCAACCCAAGAUGGCGGACGAGAGUGAGACAGCAGUGAAGCCGCCGGCACCUCAGUUGCCGCAGAUGAUGGAAGGGAACGGAAACGGCCACCAACACUGCAGCGAUUGCGAGAACGAGGAGGACAACAGCUACAACCGGGGGUAACGAGAUCCUCGGAGUUCAAUUUUCAUCCAGUCUCCCUCAACCUGGGUCUUUGGGGUGCGGGGAAGUCACAGGGAGCUUAAUCUAACCCCACCCCCAUGUUCUUAUUGGCUAAGACAUUAGGAUCUCGAUUGGUGAUUGGUUGCUGCCUUUGUCAUUUACCAGGGGUGGGCACUCAGUAUAUUAAAGCCAGAGACCUUCAGUACUUUUAUUAUAUAAAAGUUCUGUGUAAUGUUCCACUCGUGUGCUUCAGGCGCGUCCGUGGAAAAGAGCAUGAUGAACGAUGGUUUUCGAUGGCGCAACACGGGUCAAUCUAGUAACUACAGUGAGAGGGAACGUUACUUCUUGAGGUGUUUUUGAACAACGUGACUAUCAAUGAAGGAAUAAUAACACAUUUCGUUGCAAUUCACAUUCAAUGAGGAAAUUCAUCAGGGUAUACAAACCAUAUAUAUAAUUAUGUUGUAAAAUAUCACUGCCAGAGAAUUCCCAAAUAUAAACUCACCCUAUAAACACUGCAUAAUUAACCGUAUGGUGUUUUGAUUUUUACGGUAUCUUGCUCCAAAUAAUCCGUAAGUUUCCUGAACGAUAUAUAAUUAGGUUUUCCAGAGUCUUUGCUAUGUUAACUUUGCGAAGUAGCCUAAAGUUUCAAAACAUUGGUCAGUAUUUGAUAUCUGUGGGUUUAAUACUGAGUAUCCUGUACUUUAGAGUCUUGUCAUUAGUAACUGUAUUUUUCCCUCGGGAACAAAAAAAUGCACUAGAUAUUUGAGUGUUAAGUUCUUUUUCUCCAAGUCAGUUUUCACUUUGUAAGCCACAGCUUAAUUAAUCUUUCUUCACUUUGUUGGCACUCACCCUUCCUCUCUAUUUACGUGUACCUUUUUUUUUUUCCAACUGAAAGCCAUGAGAGAAUGUUCUGCGUAUAUAGCUUUUGCUGAAUCUGUGGUGGUCUGAUUUUUAUAGCCAGCUUGUCAUCUGCGGUAACUGCCUAUUCUUUGCUUUGCCCUUCCCUCAGGGAAUAUGAAAGUAAUGGUAGAUUGAGUCUUUGGGUAAACCUUUAUAUUUUUAUUCUGCUACAUUGUAGAUGUGGAAUAGCAAAGGAUUAUUUAAAUGCUUGAUUAUCUACUUGUAGUGAAAUUUAGAUUGAAAGAUCUAGCUUCCUUGUUCUUCCACCAGCAUGAAAUAUCACAAGAAAGCCACUUGCAGUGGAGCAGGCCUUUAAUCCCAACACUACAGGAGGCUGAGACAGGAAGAUCAUAAAAUCAAGGCUAGCUUCUGCACCUUAGUGAGUGAGACCAUCAGCAAGAUCCUGUCUUAAAAUAAAAAAGGACUGGAGAUGUCGUUAGUGGUUCCUGGGUUCAAUCCCCAGUAUCAAGAGAAAACAAACAAAAAAAAAUCACAAGAAGAAUGUAGAGGAAAAGGAAGCUUGCGGAGUUUGAUUUUUGUGACUGCAUUCUGUAGCUGUAACUCAUCACAGAUCUAACAUAACAAAAGCCUUUUUUUUUUUUUUGAUGUUCCGUAUUCCUAAGAAUGGAAGAGCUGAGAAAGAGGAAGCAGGAACCAGAAGAAGGGAAAAGGCAGCCCUCUUGAGUAGAGAUCAGAAUGUGAGAGUCAUUUUAGAAGUGAAAGUAUGGCUUUUUCUUUUUUCUUUAUGUAAUUACUUUUAUUUUUCUCAACUGAAUUCUUGCCCCGACUGAUACCUAUAGUUCUUUAAUAGAUUUUGUUCCCCAAUAAAUUUUGUUCCCUGUAAACUGGCUCACUCUGCAAACUGUUUGCUGUGGCUGGUAGUAUUGCUCAGUGAUAGAGCAUGAGCUCAGCUUGUUGGAGGCCAAAGGUUCAAUCCCCAUCAACAAAACGAAAAAGAAAAAGAAAAAUCUGUAUAAUAGAAAAUUCUUUUUCUGUUUUUUGGUACUGGGAAUUGAACCCAGAGGUACUUUACCAUUGAGCUAUGUUCCCAGCCUUUUAAAUUUUUUUAAAGUUUAUUUAUUUAUUUUAAUUAGGUAUAUAUGACAGCAGAAUGCAUUUUGAUUCAUUGUACACAAUUGCAGCACAACUUUUCAUUUCUCUGAUUGUACAGUAUUUUUUUAAAAUUUUUAGUUGUAGUUGGAAACAAUACCUUUAUUUUAUUUUUAUGUGCUUGCACUUGCUAGACGAGCACUGUACCGCUGAGCCACAACUCCAGCCCCUGUAUAUGAUGUUUUAUUUUGAGACAGGUUCUUGCUAAGUUGCUAAGGCUGGUCUUGAACUUGUGAUCCUCCUGUCUCAGCCUCCCGGGUCACUGGGAUUACAUGUGUGUGCCACCAUGACCAGCUCUUUUUCUUUUUUGUAGUGGAUUAUAACCAAACCAAGUAAAACUUUUGUGUGUAUUUUUGUUUAUUUUUUGGUGGUUGUUUCUGUAUGUGGUUAUGGUUUGAGCAAACAGAUUACUUUUAUUAGUAUCCCAAAUCUAGAGAUCUAUAAAAAUGAAUUUGAAUGAGGUGACAAUUGAAAAACAGAACCCAGUCUGAAGGAGAGAGUCUAAUUCUCGCACUUAGAAUCUGGUAUAGAGUCAAAAA